UACGUAGGGUGCGAGCGUUAAUCGGAAUUACUGGGCGUAAAGGGUGCGCAGGCGGUUAUAUAAGACAGAUGUGAAAUCCCCGGGCUCAACCUGGGAACUGCGUUUGUGACUGUAUGACUAGAGUACGGUAGAGAGGGGUGGAAUUCCUGGUGUAGCAGUGAAAUGCGUAGAUAUCAGGAGGAACAUCGAUGGCGAAGGCAGCCCCUUGGACCUGUACUGACGCUCAUGCACGAAAGCGUGGGGAGCGAACAGG
RNAcentral lists this ribosomal RNA (253 nucleotides) under uncultured bacterium. RNAcentral's name for it is "partial 16S ribosomal RNA". It matches the Rfam family "Bacterial small subunit ribosomal RNA", at positions 524 to 776 of the family's 1533-position model. The record is from RNAcentral.